UGGGGAAUUUUGGACAAUGGGCGCAAGCCUGAUCCAGCCAUGCCGCGUGCGGGAAGAAGGCCUUCGGGUUGUAAACCGCUUUUGUCAGGGAAGAAAUCUUCUGAGUUAAUACCUCGGGAGGAUGACGGUACCUGAAGAAUAAGCACCGGCUAACUACGUGCCAGCAGCCGCGGUAAUACGUAGGGUGCAAGCGUUAAUCGGAAUUACUGGGCGUAAAGCGUGCGCAGGCGGUUUUGUAAGACAGAGGUGAAAUCCCCGGGCUCAACCUGGGAACUGCCUUUGUGACUGCAAGGCUUGAGUGCGGCAGAGGGGGAUGGAAUUCCGCGUGUAGCAGUGAAAUGCGUAGAUAUGCGGAGGAACACCGAUGGCGAAGGCAAUCCCCUGGGCCUGCACUGACGCUCAUGCACGAAAGCGUGGGGAGCAAAACAGGAUUAGAUACCCUGGUAGUCCACGCCCUAAACGAUGUCAACUGGUUGUUGGGAAGGUUCCUUCUCAGUAACGUAGCUAACGCGUGAAAGUUGACCGCCUGGGGAGUACGGCCGCAAGGUUGAAAACUCAAAGGAAUUGACGGGGUCAUAGCUGUUUCCUG
RNAcentral lists this ribosomal RNA (589 nucleotides) under uncultured bacterium. RNAcentral describes it as "partial 16S ribosomal RNA". It matches the Rfam family "Bacterial small subunit ribosomal RNA", at positions 355 to 1376 of the family's 1533-position model. The record is from RNAcentral.